GGCGGUUCUCAGGUGACAGACCCGGAAUCGGGUUACCUCCUGUCUGGUUCCAGGUACAUCACCCAAGAACCCCA
Non-coding RNA from Myotis brandtii (Brandt's bat), 74 nucleotides. The record is from Rfam. NCBI's taxonomy places the organism in Eukaryota, Metazoa, Chordata, Mammalia, Chiroptera, Vespertilionidae.